Molecule: ribosomal RNA, 372 nt
Filed under: uncultured eukaryote
Lineage: Eukaryota
Description: SSU rRNA
Rfam family: Eukaryotic small subunit ribosomal RNA
Source: RNAcentral
UUAAAAAGCUGGUAGUUGGAUUUCUGGGAGAGUGCCGCCGUCCGGCGUGUCCGUGUGCAGUGGCACCCUUCCAUCCUUCUGUUAGCGUCUCUUGGCAUUCAUUUGCUGGUGGCGGGCUCAGAUAUUUUACCUUGAGAAAAUUAGAGUGUUUCGGGCAGGCUAGGCCGGAAUACAUUAGCAUGGAAUAAUGGAAUAGGACUACGGUCUCUUUGUUGGUUUGAGGGACUGCAGUAAUGAUUAAUAGGGAUAGUUGGGGGCAUUAGUAUUUAAUUGUCAGAGGUGGAACUCUCAGAUUUGUUAAAGACUAACUUAUGCGAAAGCAUUUGCCAAGGAUGUUUUCAUUAAUCAGAACGAAAGUUAGGGGAUCAAGAC